GAUGAACGCUGGCGGCGUGCCUAAUACAUGCAAGUCGAGCGAUCAGACGAGGAUCUUGCUCUUCUGUAGUUAGCGACGGACGGGUGAGUCACACGUGGAUAACCUAUCUCUCAGACUGAGAUAACUUCGGGAAACCGGAGCUCCUACCGGAUAAUAUAUUCAACCGCUUGGUUUUGUAGUGAAAGAUGGUUUUGCUGUGACCUAUAGAUGGAUCUGCGCCGCAUUAGCUAGUUGGUAGGGUAACGACUUACCAAGGAAACGAAGCGUAGCCGACGGGGGCGGGGGGUAGGCCACAUGGGAGCGUGGACGGCGACCAGAGGACUACGGGAGGCAGCAGUAGGGAACCUUAGGCAGUGGUGGAAAGCCUGACGCAGCAAGGCCGCGUGAGAUAUGAAGGUCUUGGGAGCGUAAUACUGUGUUAUGGGUUAUGAACAAAUGUGUAUAGGACAGUGCACAUCGUGACGGUACCUGAACAGAAAGCCACGGCUAACUACGUG
This 497-nucleotide ribosomal RNA is filed under the name uncultured bacterium. Its description in RNAcentral is "partial 16S ribosomal RNA". It matches the Rfam family "Bacterial small subunit ribosomal RNA", at positions 28 to 507 of the family's 1533-position model. The record is from RNAcentral.